Molecule: ribosomal RNA, 305 nt
Filed under: uncultured bacterium
Lineage: Bacteria
Description: bacterial SSU rRNA
Rfam family: Bacterial small subunit ribosomal RNA
Source: RNAcentral
GUAACCUAGGGGGGCAGCAGUGGGGGAUAUUGGACAAUGGGGGAAACCCUGAUCCAGCGAUGCCGCGUGAGGGAAGAAGGUUUUCGGAUUGUAAACCUCUGUGGAGGGGGACGAUAAUGACGGUACCCCUUUAGGAAGCCACGGCUAACUACGUGCCAGCAGCCGCGGUGAUACGUAGGUGGCAAGCGUUAUCCGGAUUUAUUGGGUGUAAAGGGUGCGUAGACGGGCUAACAAGUUGGUUGUGAGAUCCUUCGGCUUAACUGAGGAACUGCAACCAAAACUGUCAGUCUUGAGGGCAGGAGAGG